GUGGGGAAUAUUGGACAAUGGGGGGAACCCUGAUCCAGCCAUGCCGCGUGUGUGAAGAAGGCCUUUUGGUUGUAAAGCACUUUAAGCGAGGAGGAGGCUACCGAGAUUAAUUCUCUUGGAUAGUGGACGUUACUCGCAGAAUAAGCACCGGCUAACUCUGUGCCAGCAGCCGCGGUAAUACAGAGGGUGCAAGCGUUAAUCGGAUUUACUGGGCGUAAAGCGCGCGUAGGUGGCCAAUUAAGUCAAAUGUGAAAUCCCCGAGCUUAACUUGGGAAUUGCAUUCGAUACUGGUUGGCUAGAGUAUGGGAGAGGAUGGUAGAAUUCCAGGUGUAGCGGUGAAAUGCGUAGAGAUCUGGAGGAAUACCGAUGGCGAAGGCAGCCAUCUGGCCUAAUACUGACACUGAGGUGCGAAAGCAUGGGGAGCAAACAGGAUUAGAUACCCUGGUAGUCC
Molecule: ribosomal RNA, 451 nt
Filed under: uncultured bacterium
Lineage: Bacteria
Description: partial 16S ribosomal RNA
Rfam family: Bacterial small subunit ribosomal RNA
Source: RNAcentral